This 120-nucleotide non-coding RNA is filed under the name human gut metagenome. Its description in RNAcentral is "Moco (molybdenum cofactor) riboswitch". It matches the Rfam family "Molybdenum/Tungsten riboswitch aptamer (Moco RNA motif)". The record is from RNAcentral.
UAAUAUCAAUCCGAGUCCGUCAGCCUAAAGGACAAACGAGCAACCCCAUGGCGGCGGAACGACAGGGUUCGGUCGGAAACGGCCGCGCCUCCCGUAUUGGAAAGGAGAAAAUUAUGAAAA